AUUCACAGUGACAGCAUACUGCUGUUACGGACACCUCGAAGAGAGAGGUCUGAUGCAUUCGCACUCUGAUGAGCCAUAAGGGGAUACUGUGGCAGAUGAUGGCACAUCUCCCCAGAAGCCUUUGGCCUGAAUUUAGCGGGAUACGCCAAGUCUCAAGGUCUGUAUCUUCUGUGUUCUCAAUUCUCAAACUGAAGAGUUUGAUCAAACUCUCACUGGAAUCUAAAGCAUAUGGAAUAAUGCCUGAAGAUGGAGCUGUUUACAAACUUCUGCGGGAUAAAAGGGAACCUAUUUGCAACACAGACUUCAUAGAAACAAGCAUUGUAGUUACUUUUAUCAGGAAAAGCUACACAGUUCACAAAACAAAAACAAAAUAAAACAAACAAAACCAACAAAGCUGAUGGAGUUGAACAACACUAAAAAGAAAGCAACAAAGAAAGAAGCAGAAUUUUUCUUCCACUUUCACUCCAUGAGAGUUUGCCCUUCCAGAUUAAUGGUGUUGAACUUCUCAUGCUGACCAGAGGGAGCCCAGGAAGAGAUGAAAAGCACACAAUCUACAGAGCAAUAGAGCCUCUCCCACAUGUUCUUGUACAACUUAUAAAAUAUAGUGAUUGCAGAAACAUCUGAAACACAACUGAAGAGGUGGCUUGGGACACUUACUUUCAUUUUACGGACAACACUCAGAAAUAAUCUUUCAGCUUAUUCUACAGUUACUCCCAAGCAGAACAGAAAUUUUUGUACCUAAGCUCCAUGUCUGUAAAAACUGAACAAGAUAGCCAUGAUCCUAAUACUUCUAAAAUGCUUUUGAGACCAAACAUUGCAUAUGGGAUGAAAAGGAAUGUAACCCUUAUUAUUGCUGCAGAGUCCAGUUUCUUGAUUUUCUGACAGAUUAUUAUAAUCAUUAAUGAUCUAAGUAACUCAUUUUGUUAGAAGUUAUAGAGGAUAACUCCCCAAAAUGAUCAGGUCUUCAUCUCUUUUCUCUAUUUUAUAAAUUCAUUUACUCACUCAUUUGUAUCAGCAUAGAUUACAGCAAACACAGCUUACAAGAACACUCUAACGGGGCAGAAUUUUCUAUCCUUUUCUCUCAUGGGCCACUGAAGAAUCAGCUUUUCAGUCAUAACAGAUUGAAACUGCACGCCUAUGAGCCCAGAAGACCUUUGAAACCAUAUGAAUUAAGAAUCCAAAGCACAACUGAAGAAGAAAUGAACUUAAAUCAAGGCACCUAAAUGACCUGGACGUUUCUAAAACCUUUAUGCAAACCUUUAUACAUAUAUACAACCAGUCAGUUGCUAAGAAUCUCUGCAAGAAUACCAUGCAAUAGAAAGGUUUUUCAUUUUUUUUUUCCAUUUUCUUUUUCCCCUCACUCAAAACCAAAUAAAAAACCCAUUCACUUAAGAAGCGAUUGUCUGUAGACCUUUGAAGCCAAGGCGGGUGACAGCAAGGGCAAGAGGCUUAUUUCAAGGGUCACAUUUCAUUUGCAUAAGCAAGUAACCAUAGGGCACUGUGGAAUGUCUGUAAAUGGAUUUCAUUACAGAAAUUCAGCUUAAAGGGACUAUAAAUAAUCC
This is a long non-coding RNA of Gallus gallus (chicken), 1562 nucleotides long. The record is from Ensembl. NCBI's taxonomy places the organism in Eukaryota, Metazoa, Chordata, Aves, Galliformes, Phasianidae.